AGCUGGGCUCGAGGCGUCCAAGACACAAGUGCCUCCACCUCCCAUGCCCCCACGUGAUUACGUUCCAGCAAGAGAGAGAGUCAACCAGUGCCGCGUUGUCCGACUCCCGAGUACCAAGCUUCUCUUCACUUCUUCUAGAUCUGAAAGCGCAUCAAUAGCCAUCUACCACUACCAGAGAGCGAGAGCUUCGGCUUGAAUCGACAAGGAAGCAGGUGAUUUCUUCAUCGCGAAUCCCAUCGAGCAGUACACCUGAGGCGUCACCACACACCGGCUUUGGAGGACCCCCCAUCGAUCUUUCAUCUCGAGGGACCGGUUUCUUCGGCGGGAACCGAUUCGCAGGUAAAUCAACUCGAAUCGUGUCAAAGUUUCGAACUUUCAGCGUCCCGCUUGCUAUGAUUUCUGAUCACAGGCUCCGCCGAGGCAUAUUAGGGUUCCUGGGUUUUUGGGGGGGUUUCUUCGUCGGAGCACACGAGGUCGUCUCUGGAUUUCCAGAUACACCGGAGAAGAGCUGCGAUCUUAUCGAAAGAUAGUGAGUUCCCUUGUCCGUCGUUGGUGAUUUUCGUAGUAGACACUCGUCCUUUCGCGUGGAUGUUCUGACCCCGAGAUCUCCAAAAUUUGCCUCGGUGUCUUUCCGAACCGAGCUGGUCCGGGUUGAGGCGUGAAGGUGUGAAUCCUCCGAUCGUACUGCCUCUCGGGACUCGGACACGACUUGAUCUGCUGCUGCUUCGAGGCAACUUCUUCCUCUCGAACAUCGAAAUCCAUCGCAGUAAUUUCAUCUCUACAUCGCUCCUCGAGGGCGGGAGGAGAAUGUAGCAUUUACAGGAAGUAAGCACGUCUUUGAUAAUGAUAUAAUGGAAGAUUCACAAGCCGGUUAGAGUCACAUUUAUCUGUUUAACAAAAUGGUUUUUAAGUGGAUAUGAAGAGGAGUGGUUAUUCCGUACUCUGGUCAAAAUUGUGUGGCUUGACUUUGGUUUGCCAUCUGAACACAGCUUCAUUGCUACCAGUCAAGCAGCAGUAGAGGGAUACCUGUCCGUCGAUAAUAAUUCUAGACUUAUCGUCUACUACGGUCUCUCUCUCUUUUCUCGCUUUAUCUUUCGCCUUCAGCCUCUCUCUUGACCAUUCGAGACUAUCGUCUACUGAUUAGUCCUCACUCGCUUUCUAUGUUCUUUUCCCUCCUCAAAGUUCUCGCCCAGGCUUGUUCAGGGUCUCCUCUCCCGGAUCUCGCGCCUCUCUUUGCAUCUUAGCUCGCGGAAGUCUAUAGGAGGUGUGGGGUGGCUGCUGAAUUGCAGAGGAGGGUCUUCUAUUCUCUCUUUUGGGGCCGCUGUUACCUGUUAACGAGGUAUGUCCCAAGCUCAGAUUUUGACUUCGGUGAAAGAAGAAAGCCCUUUGUUUUCGACUUUAGAUGUGGCUAAUCCUAUGAUGGCCUUGCUUUUUGAUUGUUAGUUGCAUUUUAAUUUGAUAUUUGAUCUUUUGUUGAACUAGAACGAGCAGGUCUGCAAGCGCGCUAGACUCUAUUGCGCGCAAAAUUGCCACAUUUCGCUUGAAUCCAGAGACCAUUAGUUUUUAUGUGUAGUGAGGUUUCUCUGUGUUUGAAGGUCCUAGAUCAAUUUAUAGAAAAAUAAAACAUAAAAAUAAAAGUAGGCCGCUUCCAGGGUCGACUAGUUUGGUUCUCGGUUACAAAAACGGAGAACCGAUUAUUACGGAAUAAAUUCCCGAUUCUUAGGUUAGAACCUACUCAUCCUAAAACUAAUCAUCUUAAGAGUAAGUCUUCUCUUAAGGAGAUUUCAUUUGACAAUUUUACCUCCAUAUAGAACAUUCCAAAUGAGUAAUCUUCUUAAGAUCUUUUACAUGAUAUCCAAUAGUAAGUAAAAAAAACCUAGUUGAUCUUAUGAUGCACACAUGAAAACAAUCAAAUAAAUCGAGCCAUACACAGAGUAGGAGAUUCACCCAGCUUUAUAUCACUCAUUUCUUUCACCUCUUUUGUUACAAACAAUAAAUUCGUUCUUCAAAACGUGACUAAUCAAUUUAACCUGACUUAUCACAAAUUUAGCCGAUAGUCCUAUUCUACUUCCAUUUAAUUGGAUAAAAAAAUCUUUACGGUGAUAUUCUCAAGGUGGGCCCUCCAACAAAAAUGGGGACAAGCACUCAACGCCAUUGUUUCAAACCUUGGUCGUCUCUGAAUUUUCCUCAGCAGCUUCCUUUUUCUUCCUUUCUUAUCUUCUUCUCCUCCUUACAUCAAAUCAAUACCUAAUUUCUAAUCGUUCAGACUAACAUGGAGAAAGGGCAAAGUCAGAGCAACGCAAACAUAGAGAUGCACCGUCUCAUUUCAGGUCGUUCCUUUGCGGUGCUUCUUGUGUCUCUAUGCUCGUAUUCACUAA
This is a long non-coding RNA of Syzygium oleosum, 2378 nucleotides long. RefSeq lists it as uncharacterized. Lineage: Eukaryota; Viridiplantae; Streptophyta; Magnoliopsida; Myrtales; Myrtaceae. The transcript has 3 exons. The record is from RefSeq and is a predicted model, not a curated record.